UACGAAAGGGGCUAGCGUUGAUCGGAAUUACUGGGCGUAAAGCGCACGUAGGCGGCUUGGAAAGUUGGGGGUGAAAUCCCAGGGCUCAACCCUGGAACUGCCUCCAAAACUGCUAGGCUAGAGGAUGCGAGAGGUUGGCGGAAUUCCGAGUGUAGAGGUGAAAUUCGUAGAUAUUCGGAAGAACACAAGUGGCGAAGGCGGCCAACUGGCGCAUUUCUGACGCUGAGGUGCGAAAGCGUGGGGAGCAAACAGG
RNAcentral lists this ribosomal RNA (253 nucleotides) under uncultured bacterium. RNAcentral describes it as "partial 16S ribosomal RNA". It matches the Rfam family "Bacterial small subunit ribosomal RNA", at positions 524 to 776 of the family's 1533-position model. The record is from RNAcentral.